Molecule: ribosomal RNA, 462 nt
Filed under: uncultured archaeon
Lineage: Archaea
Description: bacterial SSU rRNA
Rfam family: Archaeal small subunit ribosomal RNA
Source: RNAcentral
UUUUCCGGUUGAUCCUGCCGGAGGCCAUUGCUAUCGGGGUCCGAUUUAGCCAUGCUAGUCGCACGGGUUUAGACCCGUGGCGAAUAGCUCAGUAACACGUGGCCAAGCUACCCUGUGGACCAGGACAACCUCGGGAAACUGAGGCUAAUCCUGGAUAAGGCUCGAUGUCUGGAAUGACUUGAGUCUCAAACGUUCCGGCGCCACAGGAUGCGGCUGCGGCCGAUUAGGUUGACGGUGGGGUAACGGCCCACCCUGCCAGUAAUCGGUACGGGUUGUGAGAGCAAGAGCCCGGAGACGGGAUCUGAGACAAGAUCCCGGGCCCUACGGGGCGCAGCAGGCGCGAAACCUUUACACUGCGCGAGAGCGCGAUAAGGGGACCCCGAGUGCGAGGGCAUAUAGCCCUCGCUUUUCUGCACCGUAAGGUGGUACAGGAAUAAGGGCCGGGCAAGAAUCGAAUUCCCG